UACGUAGGGUGCGAGCGUUGUCCGGAAUUAUUGGGAGUAAAGGGCUCGUAGGCGGUUUGUCGCGUCGGGAGUGAAAACCCAGGGCUUAACUCUGGGCUUGCUUUCGAUACGGGCAGACUAGAGGUAUGCAGGGGAGAACGGAAUUCCUGGUGUAGCGGUGAAAUGCGCAGAUAUCAGGAGGAACACCGGUGGCGAAGGCGGUUCUCUGGGCAUUACCUGACGCUGAGGAGCGAAAGUGUGGGGAGCGAACAGG
This 253-nucleotide ribosomal RNA is filed under the name uncultured bacterium. RNAcentral describes it as "partial 16S ribosomal RNA". It matches the Rfam family "Bacterial small subunit ribosomal RNA", at positions 524 to 776 of the family's 1533-position model. The record is from RNAcentral.